GUGCCAGCAGCGGCGGUAAUACGGAGGGUGCAAGCGUUAAUCGGAAUUACUGGGCGUAAAGCGCACGCAGGCGGUCUGUCAAGUCGGAUGUGAAAUCCCCGGGCUCAACCUGGGAACUGCAUUCGAAACUGGCAGGCUAGAGUCUUGUAGAGGGGGGUAGAAUUCCAGGUGUAGCGGUGAAAUGCGUAGAGAUCUGGAGGAAUACCGGUGGCGAAGGCGGCCCCUGGACAAAAGACUGACGCUCAGGUGCGAAAGCGUGGGGAGCAAACAGGAUUAGAUACCCUGGUAGUCCACGCCGUAAACGAUGUCGAUUGGAGUUGUGCCCUUGAGCGUGGCUUCCGGAG
This 344-nucleotide ribosomal RNA is filed under the name uncultured Enterobacter sp. Its description in RNAcentral is "bacterial SSU rRNA". It matches the Rfam family "Bacterial small subunit ribosomal RNA", at positions 505 to 851 of the family's 1533-position model. Lineage: Bacteria; Pseudomonadati; Pseudomonadota; Gammaproteobacteria; Enterobacterales; Enterobacteriaceae. The record is from RNAcentral.